RNAcentral lists this unclassified non-coding RNA (561 nucleotides) under Hevea brasiliensis (rubber tree). Lineage: Eukaryota; Viridiplantae; Streptophyta; Magnoliopsida; Malpighiales; Euphorbiaceae. The record is from RNAcentral.
AGGGGCAUGCUUUACGGUUGUGGUGAUCUGAUAUUUUCAUCUCAUAUGAUAUUCUCUCUAAUCUUUGUGCGGACAUAUCAUAAAUACGGGGCAAGAAGAUAUAUAAAACUGUGUGCUUGGUUAGCUGUUAUUGCUCAGAGCUUCUUGAUUGUUGCAUCUCGCAAACAUUACACAGUGGACGUUGUUGUGGCAUGGUACACUGUUAAUCUAGUAGUGUUCUUUGUUGACAAACAGUUGGCAGAACUGCCUGACCGUACUAGUGCAGUGUUGAUUCUACCACUGAGCAAAGAUAGCAAGGCUAAGGAAGAGAAUCACAAAUUUCUGAAUGCAAAUUCUGGAGAUCCUGCAGAAUGGGUAUGGAGAAGCGUUCCGAAUUGUGUAUAGAUGUGCAUAACCCAAAUUUAUGAAAAGAUCAUUGAAGAUGGGAGCACAGUUCAUCUUGGAGCAAUGAUGAAUGGUGUAAAGACAAUAUAUGGAAUGCAACUAACCGAAGACUUCCGUUCAAUAUCAUUACAAGGUUGGUUUGACAAAUGUUCUCCAGGUUCACUAGUUUUGGUUUAU